CCAGGUUGGGAAGUGCCCUUUCCAAUUUCUUGUUUGUACCAAGGUGUGUUAUUCCAUCACACUCAAAAUACAUGCAUAUUUAGUACUGGUACGUGCAAGUAUGUAAAACUUUAAGAUAUAGAUAUGCAAAAUCAACACGCUUAGAGAAUGUAUUCUUAAAGGUUACAUGACAUCCUCUGAUAACUGGGAGAUGGGGAAGCCAUGCAGCUCAGUGAUGCACACUCGAUCGAUCUGUUAAAGACGGUGGACGUCGAUGGCAACAUGGUGGCCAUGGAUCUGGCCGGAGAAGCGCCUCACCUUUGGCCACCAUGGAAGAACACCUCUUCAUCCUAAUUUGAACUCUUUCGUAAAACAAAUCUCCUAUUAGUUCAGACAUUAUGCAAAGUGCUCUAGAACAAAAACCAAAGCAACAUUUUGUCCACAAUAUUUGGUAUAAACUCUAAAGUGAUCCAGUAACAAAGAAUAUGCUAAUGGUGCACUAACAAAAUCUCUUAUACCAUUUGGAUAUUACAAGGAAUAACCAGUGGUUAUACUACAUACUUCACAAAAAAUGGCAAUAUGGGCAUAUGCAUCCAAACGACCAUUGUUAGAAAGAAGCAUAUAUACACAUAUAAGUGGGCAAACGACGAACAAACAAUUGUAUGGAUACAUGUGGACAGAGACGGAAAAAGGUAACAACCUGGUCCCAUUGCGGCAUUUCUGUCAUCUGUGUCUUGUAAAGAAACGAACGGGACUGCAGCCGCACCCAACAUAGAUGUAAGCACAUAUGACACAUGCACAGAAGAAGAUCAAGGGAUAGAAGAAUCACCAACCUAUAAACCCAGGCAGCAACUUGCAGAAAGAUCAUCACCUGCAAAUAAGAAAGUGGAGCACCAGAGCAGCCAGAUUAGUCAAAAUCUAAGAGAAAAGGACUAAAAUAAUGAGCUCCAGAGAACAACAGUCAAGAAAUAAUCUUUCCAAUUACUGGACGGAACUUUGUGUCACAAACUGAAGAAAUGGAAAUAAAUCCGACUUCAUGACGUUCAAUAUAUCAUGUGUGCCUUAGAUCAUAUAAUAAUGUGGAAGUAACUACAACAGAGAGGAAGACAACACACACCUUAGGAUAGAAGAUGAACUUAAUAAUGUGGAAGUAACUACAACAGAGAGGAAGACAACACACACCUUAGGAUAGAAGAUGAGCUUGACGACAAGGUCUACGCCGUGGAGAGAAGGAGCGGCAACAACCACCACCAGAUGAGCUCGACCACCACCAGGAGUAAAAAUUCAAAAAAGUUCAUCAAGGACAUGAACUAAGCACUAAUAUUUACAAUAUAGUAUCACCAUGAACAUGAACAGUACGUGUAGACUAAAUACU
RNAcentral lists this long non-coding RNA (1354 nucleotides) under Triticum aestivum (bread wheat). Its description in RNAcentral is "long non-coding RNA (TAES_LNC020088)". The record is from RNAcentral. Lineage: Eukaryota; Viridiplantae; Streptophyta; Magnoliopsida; Poales; Poaceae.